RNAcentral lists this ribosomal RNA (492 nucleotides) under uncultured bacterium. RNAcentral's name for it is "partial 16S ribosomal RNA". It matches the Rfam family "Bacterial small subunit ribosomal RNA", at positions 29 to 507 of the family's 1533-position model. The record is from RNAcentral.
AGUGAACGCUGGCGGUAGGCCUAACACAUGCAAGUCGAACGGCAGCACAGUAAGAGCUUGCUCUUACGGGUGGCGAGUGGCGGACGGGUGAGGAGUACAUCGGAAUCUACUUUUUCGUGGGGGAUAACGUAGGGAAACUUACGCUAAUACCGCAUACGACCUACGGGUGAAAGCAGGGGAACUUCGGACCUUGCGGGAUUGAAUGAGCCGAUGUCGGAUUAGAUAGUUGGCGGGGCAAAGGCCCACCAAGGCGACGAUCCGUAGCUCGUCUGAGGGGAUGGGCAGCCACACUGGAACUGAGACACGCUCCAGAGUCCUACGGGAGGCACCAGUGGGGAAUAUUGGACAAUGGGCGGAAGCCUGAUCCAGCCAUGCCGCGUGGGUAAAGAAGGCCGUCGGGUUGUAAAGCCCUUUUGUUGGGAAAGAAAAGCAGCAGGUUAAUACCCCGCUGUUCUGACGGUACCCAAAGAAUAAGCCCCGGCUAACUUCGUG